GAUGGUGGCUGUCCCGUGGCCUUGCCUUGGCCACUGAACCCAGUGCACGCUGCCCCCCACCACAGCCUCCCAUAACGCGCUGGGAAAGGCUCGCAGCCCUGCCAAGAGGAGGGGACAGAGGGUCUCCUUCCCAAGGCUGUGCUGCUACCUCCCAACCUCUGCUGCUCCGCAGGCCUCUGGGGAAGCUCUCGCCGUGGCUGCAGAGUUUCUGCGAUGCAAGGAGCUCAAGCGCUUGGCCCAGACAGAACAGACGUGGAGGAUCGGAGAGUUCUUGCUGCAGCAGGACAGAGGCAGAGUAGAAGAAUACCUGCAGCAGAGCCAGCCCUACCUGCAGGCACUCAGACCCUUUGCGACUUGAGGCCGUCAGAUUCAUUGGUGAGCCCAGCCCCUGGGUCCCUCUUGGGGCAGCCUUUGGCAGCCCCAGGCACUGCCCUGUUGCCCCCAGAGCCCCCCGACUGGGCCCUUGCUCCAGGGUGCAGGAGGGGGCACAGCCUGGCUGGCCAGGCCAGGGGCUGCGCUGCUGGGAGCGUGCUGGGGAGCGGGGCUCUGAUGGGGUCUCUGUGUCUAGGUCUUGCUGCGCGCUACUGCGAGGACCAGAGC
This is a non-coding RNA of Anas platyrhynchos (mallard), 600 nucleotides long. Lineage: Eukaryota; Metazoa; Chordata; Aves; Anseriformes; Anatidae. The record is from RefSeq and is a predicted model, not a curated record.